This is a long non-coding RNA of Oncorhynchus tshawytscha (Chinook salmon), 558 nucleotides long. The record is from Ensembl. NCBI's taxonomy places the organism in Eukaryota, Metazoa, Chordata, Actinopteri, Salmoniformes, Salmonidae.
GUUAAGGUUAGGCAUUAACUCUGAAUGGUUAAGGUUAGGCAUUAACUCUGAAUGGUUAAGGUUAGGGGUUAAGGUUAGGCAUUAACUCUGAAUGGUUAAGGUUAGGCAUUAACUCUGAAUGGUUAAGGUUAGGCAUUAACUCUGAAUGGUUAAGGUUAGGCAUUAACUCUGAAUGGUUAAGGUUAGGCAUUAACUCUGAAUGGUUAAGGUUAGGCAUUAACUCUGAAUGGUUAAGGUUAGGCAUUAACUCUGAAUGGUUAAGGUUAGGCAUUAACUCUGAAUGGUUAAGGUUAGGCAUUAACUCUGAAUGGUUAAGGUUAGGGGUUAAGGUUAGGCAUUAACUCUGAAUGGUUAAGGUAAGGGGUUAAGGUAAGGGGUUAAGGUUAGGCAUUAACUCUGAAUGGUUAAGGUAAGGGGUUAAGGUUAGGGGUUAACUCUGAAGGGUUAAGGUAAGGGGUUAAGGUAAGGGGUUAAGGUAAGGGGUUAAGGUAAGGGGUUAAGGUUAGGCAUUAACUCUGAAUGGUUAAGGUAAGGGGUUAAGGUUAGGCAUUAACUCUG